GAGCUCAGGGGCAGAGCAGCUGCUUGGCAUGCAGAAGGACCCCCCCACCAGGUCCAAUCCCUGGCAACUCCA
Podarcis lilfordi (Lilford's wall lizard) is the source of this 72-nucleotide non-coding RNA. The record is from the annotation of a GenBank genome assembly. Lineage: Eukaryota; Metazoa; Chordata; Lepidosauria; Squamata; Lacertidae.